CGGCUGCAGGCUGGGGGUCUUUGCAGUCUGCGCCCUGCCUCAGCGCUCUGCUCCGGUAGUACAGCGGAAGGCCAGAACUUUGCACGGAAGAAAUCUUUGAAGAGAAGUUCUCCUCUCAUCACAUUCGAGCUUUGUUUGUGCCCUAUAAUGGCCCUGGAAUUGCCUGAGGCUGUAGGCACCGGACAAUAUUUUACUUUUGCAGAAUCAGCAUUUUCAUGAGUUCGGUAUCUUGGCUUUAAAGACAUUGUGGAUUAUCCAGCCCAAGCUCUUGGCUUUACAGCUGAAGAAACUGGGCCCAAAGAAGCCAGGCGACUUGCCUGUCACGCAGUGGCAGACAGCGUCAGAACGCUCCCGGCUUCGACUCUCCUUCUACUUACUAGGAUACAAGUGUGACAUCAUUUGAGUUACUUCACUUUAAGAACAGACAGCAUCAGAGAAAAAUCAAAGCCCCAAUAAGUGCUCUUCCUAAAAUUUGCAUAGAUGACAUGAUG
Molecule: long non-coding RNA, 491 nt
Organism: Cynocephalus volans (Philippine flying lemur)
Lineage: Eukaryota; Metazoa; Chordata; Mammalia; Dermoptera; Cynocephalidae
Exons: 3
Source: RefSeq, a predicted model, not a curated record